This 857-nucleotide ribosomal RNA is filed under the name uncultured bacterium. RNAcentral describes it as "SSU rRNA". It matches the Rfam family "Bacterial small subunit ribosomal RNA", at positions 524 to 1381 of the family's 1533-position model. The record is from RNAcentral.
UACGGGAGUGGCAAGCGUUAUCCGGAAUUAUUGGGCGUAAAGCGUCCGCAGGCGGUCUGUCAAGUCUGCUGUUAAAGCGUGGAGCUUAACUCCAUUAAGGCAGUGGAAACUGACAGACUAGAGUGUGGUAGGGGCAGAGGGAAUUCCCGGUGUAGCGGUGAAAUGCGUAGAUAUCGGGAAGAACACCAGUGGCGAAGGCGCUCUGCUGGGCCAUAACUGACGCUCAUGGACGAAAGCCAGGGGAGCGAAAGGGAUUAGAUACCCCUGUAGUCCUGGCCGUAAACGAUGAACACUAGGUGUCGGGGGAAUCGACCCCCUCGGUGUCGUAGCCAACGCGUUAAGUGUUCCGCCUGGGGAGUACGCACGCAAGUGUGAAACUCAAAGGAAUUGACGGGGGCCCGCACAAGCGGUGGAGUAUGUGGUUUAAUUCGAUGCAACGCGAAGAACCUUACCAGGGUUUGACAUCCUGCGAAUCUCUUGGAAACGAGAGAGUGCCUUCGGGAACGCAGUGACAGGUGGUGCAUGGCUGUCGUCAGCUCGUGUCGUGAGAUGUUGGGUUAAGUCCCGCAACGAGCGCAACCCACGUCGUUAGUUGCCAGCAUUUAGCUGGGCACUCUAGCGAGACCGCCGGUGAUAAACCGGAGGAAGGUGUGGAUGACGUCAAGUCAUCAUGCCCCUUACAUCCUGGGCUACACACGUACUACAAUGCUACGGACAAAGGGCAGCAAACUCGCGAGAGCUAGCAAAUCCCAUAAACCGUGGCUCAGUUCAGAUCGUAGGCUGCAACUCGCCUACGUGAAGGAGGAAUCGCUAGUAAUCGCAGGUCAGCAUACUGCGGUGAAUACGUUCCCGGGCCU